RNAcentral lists this ribosomal RNA (449 nucleotides) under uncultured bacterium. RNAcentral describes it as "partial 16S ribosomal RNA". It matches the Rfam family "Bacterial small subunit ribosomal RNA", at positions 339 to 795 of the family's 1533-position model. The record is from RNAcentral.
CUACGGGAGGCAGCAGUGGGGAAUAUUGCGCAAUGGGCGAAAGCCUGACGCAGCAACGCCGCGUGAGUGAUGAAGGCCUUCGGGUCGUAAAGCUCUGUCGGGAGGGAAGAACACCUUCGGGUCUGACGGUACCUCCCGAGGAAGCACAGGCUAACUCCGUGCCAGCAGCCGCGGUAAUACGGAGUGUGCAAGCGUUGUUCGGAAUUACUGGGCGUAAAGCGCGCGUAGGCGGCUUGAUAAGUCAGAUGUGAAAUCCCUCGGCUUAACCGAGGAACUGCAUUUGAAACUGUCAGGCUUGAGUACGGGAGGGGGAAGCGGAAUUCCCAGUGUAGAGGUGAAAUUCGUAGAUAUUGGGAGGAACACCAGCGGCGAAGGCGGCUUCCUGGACCGAUACUGACGCUGAGGCGCGAAAGCGUGGGGAGCAAACGGGAUUAGAUACCCUCGUAGUC